GGAGGGCUGGCUGAGAGGUUAUGUCGACUGCAGAACAGAGAAAGAUCUGCUAUUAGCUUUUGGAGACAUCAGUGCAUUUCAGAUGCUAAAAUCCCAUCAGAUAAAUCUGGUGUUUUAAUUGUGAAGAUCUUAGAAAUGUUUGAGGAGUGUAUGAUACAAGUUGCCAUCUGCCAGCAGCUGGAAGAGUCUCCUGCUAUCAUUUCAUCCAAAGACCUUGUCAUCAAUACAAGAGAACCAAUAAUCAAAGUCCUUUUUGCAAGAGAGACAGCAGCUCAUCUGAAGAGUAGGCCACAGGAUGUCAUCCACAUCUAUCCCCCAUGG
Meleagris gallopavo (turkey) is the source of this 321-nucleotide non-coding RNA. Lineage: Eukaryota; Metazoa; Chordata; Aves; Galliformes; Phasianidae. The record is from RefSeq and is a predicted model, not a curated record.